RNAcentral lists this ribosomal RNA (253 nucleotides) under uncultured bacterium. RNAcentral describes it as "partial 16S ribosomal RNA". It matches the Rfam family "Bacterial small subunit ribosomal RNA", at positions 524 to 776 of the family's 1533-position model. The record is from RNAcentral.
UACGUAGGGUGCAAGCGUUAAUCGGAAUUACUGGGCGUAAAGCGUGCGCAGGCGGUUUUGUAAGUCAGAUGUGAAAUCCCCGGGCUUAACCUGGGAACUGCGUUUGAAACUACAAGGCUAGAGUGUGGCAGGGGGGGGUGGAAUUCCACGUGUAGCAGUGAAAUGCGUAGAGAUGUGGAGGAACACCGAUGGCGAAGGCAGCCCCCUGGGUUAACACUGACGCUCAGGCACGAAAGCGUGGGGAGCAAACAGG